This 324-nucleotide unclassified non-coding RNA is filed under the name soil metagenome. Its description in RNAcentral is "partial contains 5.8S ribosomal RNA, internal transcribed spacer 2, and large subunit ribosomal RNA". The stretch from base 1 to 120 matches the Rfam family "5.8S ribosomal RNA", at positions 35 to 154 of the family's 154-position model. The record is from RNAcentral.
GAUGAAGAACGCAGCGAAAUGCGAUAAGUAGUGUGAAUUGCAGAAUUCAGUGAAUCAUCGAAUCUUUGAACGCACAUUGCGCCCCUUGGUAUUCCAUGGGGCAUGCCUGUUCGAGCGUCAUUUGUACCUUCAAGCUUUGCUUGGUGUUGGGUGUUUGUCCCUCGGGACUCGCCUUAAAGUCAUUGGCAGCCAGUGUUUUGGUUUUGAAGCGCAGCACAAGUCGCGAUUCAAGGCUAUCCGCCCGCUUCCACAAGCCUUUUUCACUUUUGACCUCGGAUCAGGUAGGGAUACCCGUUGAACUUAAGCAUAUCAAUAAGCGGAGGA